Molecule: ribosomal RNA, 294 nt
Filed under: uncultured bacterium
Lineage: Bacteria
Description: partial 16S ribosomal RNA
Rfam family: Bacterial small subunit ribosomal RNA
Source: RNAcentral
GGAUUAGAUACCCUGGUAGUCCACGCCGUAAACGGUGAACACUAGGUGUAGCGGGUAUUGACCCCUGCUGUGCCGUAGCUAACGCGUUAAGUGUUCCGCCUGGGGAGUACGGCCGCAAGGUUGAAACUCAAAGGAAUUGACGGGGGCCCGCACAAGCGGUGGAGCAUGUGGUUUAAUUCGACGCAACGCGCAGAACCUUACCCAGGCUUGACAUCCCCUGACAACCCUGGAAACAGGGCCUUCCCUUUUGGGACAGGGUGACAGGUGCUGCAUGGCUGUCGUCAGCUCGUGCCG